Pseudonaja textilis is the source of this 1387-nucleotide non-coding RNA. Lineage: Eukaryota; Metazoa; Chordata; Lepidosauria; Squamata; Elapidae. The record is from RefSeq and is a predicted model, not a curated record.
CUUCCCUUCCCAAACAGGUAGCAAACCUGCAGCUUUCUCAGCCAGGGCCACGUCAGCUUCUGUUCCUCAGCAGCCCUGAUGAAGCACUGAAGGAGAUAAAACAGGAGACAUGUCAGAGUGUUUACAGCAUGACUACUAUUGUGAGAUAACCCAAGAACAAAACACAGGACACAGAGGCUUUGUCUUUUAACAGUGGUUUAUAUACAAGACUAGUAUAUACAUCAAUACAUGUGGCAGGCAAAUACCAGGCAAUCAAUCACUCUACACUGAGAACUACAGUGGAGAUAGAACAUGAGGAGAGAGAGAGAGAGAGACACCCUCACAUGUCCUCCCUUCUAUAGACAGCUUCUUAAAGUGGCAGUACCCUGCUGACUCAUGCUCAGUUCAUCAUCUUGGCUUACAAUCUUACAGCAGCUGGUCAGCUAUUAAAUCUUCAUUACAUUAACAAGACAUCUAGAAUGUUGCUGAGGCUGUGUGGGACAAACUCAGCUAAACACUGAAUACAGCCACUCUUAAGAACUACCUCAUGGCAAUGCGGGAAGUGAAGUCACAGUACUUCUCCACCCUUACUGCAUCUGUAGAUAGUUAUUUUACUGCCUUAUUUUGAACAAUCUGUGCCCUCUUAGUAGAGGUGUCUCAGAGACCCCACUAGAGACUCAUGCAGAAGAAUUUGCAAUGCAUUUGCUAGUCAAAAUGGCUACAAUUCAUUCACAGUUGGUGCUGGUCAUGGUUUAGUUCCCAGGGUAGAGUUUUACCCUGUUAUGUGGGAAUGGACCUAUUGGGCUUAAGAAAGCGGACAGGGUACUCUUUAGAUCAAGCCCCUCCUGGCUAAUUAAAGUUAUAUGGGAAGCAGGAAAUGUCAUGUGAGUUGAUUCUAGCAGUGGUGAAUUCUUCCUUGGGUGAGGAGGUCUUUCCUUUGCCUCUCAAAGAAGUGUUGGUUUGCACUUUCCUCAAGAAAACAUCACUGGGCCCACCAGACUGGACAACGUAUCUGUAUAUGUGUGAGAGAGGGGGGCGGGGUCUUAUGACUGUCCACAUUGUUUGUAAUGUAAUGUUCUUAGUUUUUUUUAUAGUAAUAUUUCUGUAUUUCCUGAAUGUUUCUAAUAUUGUUUUUUUUUUUUGGUUUGUUUGCAUGCAUUGAGUCAUAGCACCAGAAAUGGGUGGCCAUACACAUAUGAUACAUACAUACAUACAUAAAUUGUCUUCUGCACAUUUUUAGUUUAUAGGGAAGAGAAUCCCUUGAAAAAUCUCUCAGAACAGGAACUGGGGCCUCUUAUCAGCAUUCUAUGUUGCAGCAUGUGGAAACAUGUGAGAACCAGCUGAACAAAGCCAUUGAUCCAUAUUAUCAGUAAAGGAAGUGCACCCAUAAUUACUGUAAAUCAUGCAG